Molecule: ribosomal RNA, 253 nt
Filed under: uncultured bacterium
Lineage: Bacteria
Description: partial 16S ribosomal RNA
Rfam family: Bacterial small subunit ribosomal RNA
Source: RNAcentral
UACAGAGGGGGCAAGCGUUAUUCGGAAUUAUUGGGCGUAAAGGGCGCGUAGGCGGCUUGGCAAGUGGAUGGUGAAAUCCCUCGGCUUAACCGAGGAACUGCCGUCCAAACUGCUUCGCUUGAGACCGGGAGAGGUGAGUGGAAUUCCAGGUGUAGCGGUGAAAUGCGUAGAUAUCUGGAGGAACACCGGUGGCGAAGGCGGCAUCCUGGACCGGUAUUGACGCUGAGGCGCGAAAGCUAGGGGAGCAAACGGG